This 162-nucleotide ribosomal RNA is filed under the name ascomycete sp. MA 4921. RNAcentral's name for it is "5.8S ribosomal RNA". It matches the Rfam family "5.8S ribosomal RNA". Rfam says of the family: 5.8S ribosomal RNA (5.8S rRNA) is a component of the large subunit of the eukaryotic ribosome. It is transcribed by RNA polymerase I as part of the 45S precursor that also contains 18S and 28S rRNA. Lineage: Eukaryota; Fungi; Ascomycota. The record is from RNAcentral.
AACUUUCAACAACGGAUCUCUUGGUUCUGGCAUCGAUGAAGAACGCAGCGAAAUGCGAUAAGUAGUGUGAAUUGCAGAAUUCAGUGAAUCAUCGAAUCUUUGAACGCACAUUGCGCCCCUUGGUAUUCCAUGGGGCAUGCUUGUUCGAGCGUCAUUUGUACU